Molecule: ribosomal RNA, 404 nt
Filed under: uncultured bacterium
Lineage: Bacteria
Description: bacterial SSU rRNA
Rfam family: Bacterial small subunit ribosomal RNA
Source: RNAcentral
UGGGGAAUAUUGCACAAUGGAGGAAACUCUGAUGCAGCGACGCCGCGUGAGUGAAGAAGGUCUUCGGAUCGUAAAACUCUGUCCUUGGUGACGAAAAAAAUGACGGUAGCCAAGGAGGAAGCCCCGGCUAACUACGUGCCAGCAGCCGCGGUAAUACGUAGGGGGCGAGCGUUGUCCGGAUUUACUGGGCGUAAAGGGUGAGUAGGCGGUAAUAUGUGUCAGAUGUAAAAGGCUAUGGCUUAACCAUAGUUGGCAUUUGAAACUGUAUUACUUGAGUGCAGGAGAGGUAAGUGGAAUUCCUAGUGUAGCGGUGAAAUGCGUAGAUAUUAGGAGGAACACCAGUGGCGAAGGCGACUUACUGGACUGUAACUGACGCUGAGUCACGAAAGCGUGGGUAGCAAACA